CAGGCCUAACACAUGCAAGUCGAGGGGUAGAAUUAGCUUGCUAAUUUGAGACCGGCGCACGGGUGCGAAACGCGUCUGCACCCUACCUUGAACAGGGGGAUAGCCCAGAGAAAUUUGGAUUAAUACCCCAUGGUAUAUUGAUAUGGCAUCAUAUUAUUAUUAAAGUCACAACGGUUCAAGAUGGGCAUGCGUCCCAUUAGCUUGUUGGUGGGGUAACGGCUCACCAAGGCGAUGAUGGGUAGGGGUCCUGAGAGGGAGAUCCCCCACACUGGUACUGAGACACGGACCAGACUCCUACGGGAGGCAGCAGUGAGGAAUAUUGGUCAAUGGGCGCAAGACUGAACCACCCAUGCCGCGUGCAGGAAGAAGCAUCUUUGGUGUGUAAACUGCUUUUGUACGGGAAGAAACACUCCUUCGUGAAGGAGCUUGACGGUACCGUAAGAAUAAGAUCGCUAACUCC
RNAcentral lists this ribosomal RNA (460 nucleotides) under uncultured bacterium. RNAcentral describes it as "bacterial SSU rRNA". It matches the Rfam family "Bacterial small subunit ribosomal RNA", at positions 43 to 504 of the family's 1533-position model. The record is from RNAcentral.